This 304-nucleotide ribosomal RNA is filed under the name uncultured Fusobacterium sp. Its description in RNAcentral is "bacterial SSU rRNA". It matches the Rfam family "Bacterial small subunit ribosomal RNA", at positions 1212 to 1513 of the family's 1533-position model. Lineage: Bacteria; Fusobacteriati; Fusobacteriota; Fusobacteriia; Fusobacteriales; Fusobacteriaceae. The record is from RNAcentral.
GGCUACACACGUGCUACAAUGGGUAGUACAGAGAGUCGCAAAGCCGCGAGGUGGAGCUAAUCUCAGAAAACUAUUCUUAGUUCGGAUUGUACUCUGCAACUCGAGUACAUGAAGUUGGAAUCGCUAGUAAUCGCGAAUCAGCAAUGUCGCNGGUGAAUACGUUCUCGGGUCUUGUACACACCGCCCGUCACACCACGAGAGUUGGUUGCACCUGAAGUAGCAGGCCUAACCGUAAGGAGGGAUGCUCCGAGGGUGUGAUUAGCGAUUGGGGUGAAGUCGUAACAAGGUAUCCGUACGGGAACGU